ACGAACGCUGGCGGCGUGCCUAAUACAUGCCAGUCGAGCGGACGAAUCGAAAGCUUGCUUUUGAUUCGUUAGCGGCGGACGGGUGAGUAACACGUGGGCAACCUGCCCUGUAGACGGGGAUAACACCGAGAAAUCGGUGCUAAUACCGGAUAACACGAAAUGUCGCAUGACGUUUCGUUGAAAGACGGCGCAAGCUGUCGCUACAGGAUGGGCCCGCGGCGCAUUAGCUAGUUGGUGAGGUAACGGCUCACCAAGGCGACGAUGCGUAGCCGACCUGAGAGGGUGAUCGGCCACACUGGGACUGAGACACGGCCCAGACUCCGACGGGAGGCAGCAGGAGGGAAUCUUCCGCAAUGGACGAAAGUCUGACGGAGCAACGCCGCGUGAGCGAAGAAGGCCUUCGGGUCGUAAAGCUCUGUUGUUAGGGAAGAACAAGUAACGCAGUAACUGGCGUUACCGUGACGGUACCUAACGAGAAAGCCACGGCUAACUACGU
This 496-nucleotide ribosomal RNA is filed under the name uncultured bacterium. Its description in RNAcentral is "partial 16S ribosomal RNA". It matches the Rfam family "Bacterial small subunit ribosomal RNA", at positions 29 to 506 of the family's 1533-position model. The record is from RNAcentral.